This 1649-nucleotide ribosomal RNA is filed under the name Staphylococcus pseudintermedius. RNAcentral describes it as "partial 23S ribosomal RNA". It matches the Rfam family "Bacterial large subunit ribosomal RNA", at positions 1058 to 2710 of the family's 2925-position model. Lineage: Bacteria; Bacillati; Bacillota; Bacilli; Caryophanales; Staphylococcaceae. The record is from RNAcentral.
GUUAAGUGGAAAAGGAUGUGGCGUUGCCCAGACAACUAGGAUGUUGGCUUAGAAGCAGCCAUCAUUUAAAGAGUGCGUAAUAGCUCACUAGUCGAGUGACACUGCGCCGAAAAUGUACCGGGGCUAAACAUAUUACCGAAGCUGUGGAUUGUCCUUUGGACAAUGGUAGGAGAGCGUUCUAAGGGCGUUGAAGCAUGAUCGCAAGGACAUGUGGAGCGCUUAGAAGUGAGAAUGCCGGUGUGAGUAGCGAAAGACGGGUGAGAAUCCCGUCCACCGAUUGACUAAGGUUUCCAGAGGAAGGCUCGUCCGCUCUGGGUUAGUCGGGUCCUAAGCUGAGGCCGACAGGCGUAGGCGAUGGAUAACAGGUUGAUAUUCCUGUACCACCAUUAUUCGUUUUAAGCGAUGGGGGGACGCAGUAGGAUAGGCGAAGCGUGCUGUUGGAGUGCACGUCCAAGCAGUGAGAUUGAGUGUUAGGCAAAUCCGGCACUCUUAAGAUUGAGCUGUGAUGGGGAGAGGAACUUGUUCCUCGAGUCGUUGAUUUCACACUGCCGAGAAAAGCCUCUAGCUAGAAUAACGGUGCCCGUACCGCAAACCGACACAGGUAGUCAAGAUGAGAAUUCUAAGGUGAGCGAGCGAACUCUCGUUAAGGAACUCGGCAAAAUGACCCCGUAACUUCGGGAGAAGGGGUGCUCUUUGAGGUUCACGCUUCGAAGAGCCGCAGUGAAUAGGCCCAAGCGACUGUUUAUCAAAAACACAGGUCUCUGCUAAACCGUAAGGUGACGUAUAGGGGCUGACGCCUGCCCGGUGCUGGAAGGUUAAGAGGAGUGGUUAGCGCAAGCGAAGCUACGAAUCGAAGCCCCAGUAAACGGCGGCCGUAACUAUAACGGUCCUAAGGUAGCGAAAUUCCUUGUCGGGUAAGUUCCGACCCGCACGAAAGGCGUAACGAUUUGGGCACUGUCUCAACGAGAGACUCGGUGAAAUCAUAGUACCGGUGAAGAUGCCGGUUACCCGCGACAGGACGGAAAGACCCCGUGGAGCUUUACUGUAGCCUGAUAUUGAAAUUCGGUACAGUUUGUACAGGAUAGGUAGGAGCCUUAGAAGCGUGAGCGCUAGCUUACGUGGAGGCAUUGGUGGGAUACUACCCUAAUUGUAUUGGAUUUCUAACCCGCAGCACUUAUCGUGCUGGGAGACAGUGUCAGGCGGGCAGUUUGACUGGGGCGGUCGCCUCCUAAAGAGUAACGGAGGCGCUCAAAGGUUCCCUCAGAAUGGUUGGAAAUCAUUCAUAGAGUGUAAAGGCAUAAGGGAGCUUGACUGCGAGACCUACAAGUCGAGCAGGGUCGAAAGACGGACUUAGUGAUCCGGUGGUUCCGCAUGGAAGGGCCAUCGCUCAACGGAUAAAAGCUACCCCGGGGAUAACAGGCUUAUCUCCCCCAAGAGUUCACAUCGACGGGGAGGUUUGGCACCUCGAUGUCGGCUCAUCGCAUCCUGGGGCUGUAGUCGGUCCCAAGGGUUGGGCUGUUCGCCCAUUAAAGCGGUACGCGAGCUGGGUUCAGAACGUCGUGAGACAGUUCGGUCCCUAUCCGUCGUGGGCGUAGGAAAUUUGAGAGGAGCUGUCCUUAGUACGAGAGGACCGGGAUGGACAUACCUCU